UGAAUAGAGUAUUCCAGCCAGUGUCC
This 26-nucleotide non-coding RNA is filed under the name Mus musculus (house mouse). The record is from RNAcentral. Lineage: Eukaryota; Metazoa; Chordata; Mammalia; Rodentia; Muridae.